This 467-nucleotide ribosomal RNA is filed under the name uncultured bacterium. RNAcentral describes it as "partial 16S ribosomal RNA". It matches the Rfam family "Bacterial small subunit ribosomal RNA", at positions 28 to 506 of the family's 1533-position model. The record is from RNAcentral.
GACGAACGCUGGCGGCGUGCUUAACACAUGCAAGUCGAACGGAAAGGCCCUGCUUUUGUGGGGUGCUCGAGUGGCGAACGGGUGAGUAACACGUGAGUAACCUGCCCUUGACUUUGGGAUAACUUCAGGAAACUGGGGCUAAUACCGGAUAGGAGCUCCUGCUGCAUGGUGGGGGUUGGAAAGUUUCGGCGGUUGGGGAUGGACUCGCGGCUUAUCAGCUUGUUGGUGGGGUAGUGGCUUACCAAGGCUUUGACGGGUAGCCGGCCUGAGAGGGUGACCGGCCACAUGGGGACUGGGAAACGGCCCAGACUCCUAGGGGAGGCAGCAGUGGGGAAUAUUGCAAAAGGGGCGGAAGCCUGAUGCAGCAACGCCGGGGGGGGGAUGACGGCCUUCGGGUUGUAAACCGCUUUCGCCUGUGACGAAGCGGGGGUGACGGUAAUGGGUAAAGAAGCACCGGCUAACUACGU